CCUACGGGUGGCAGCAGUAGGGAAUAUUGCUCAAUGGGGGAAACCCUGAAGCAGCAACGCCGCGUGGAGGAUGAAGGUUUUAGGAUUGUAAACUCCUUUUGUGAGAGAAGAUAAUGACGGUAUCUCACGAAUAAGCACCGGCUAACUCCGUGCCAGCAGCCGCGGUAAUACGGAGGGUGCAAGCGUUACUCGGAAUCACUGGGCGUAAAGAGUGCGCAGGCGGGCUUGUAAGUCGGAUGUGAAAUCCUGUAGCUUAACUACGGAACUGCAUUUGAAACUAUGAGGCUAGAGUGUGGGAGAGGUAGGUAGAAUUCUAGGUGUAGGGGUAAAAUGCGUAGAUAUCAAGAGGAAUACUGAUUGCGAAGGCGACCUACUGGAAAAUGACUGACGCUCAUGUGCGAAAGCGUGGGGAGCAAACAGGAUUAGAUACCCGGGUAGUC
This 440-nucleotide ribosomal RNA is filed under the name uncultured bacterium. RNAcentral describes it as "partial 16S ribosomal RNA". It matches the Rfam family "Bacterial small subunit ribosomal RNA", at positions 338 to 795 of the family's 1533-position model. The record is from RNAcentral.